CGCGGGAGUCGGGCGGACGUGAUCGUCGCGAACCGGGUCAGGUCCUGACGGAAGCAGCCACAGUGAUUUCGUCACGGGUCGUUCCGGCUCCCACCGUC
This is a non-coding RNA of Sphingobium sp. Ant17, 98 nucleotides long. NCBI's taxonomy places the organism in Bacteria, Pseudomonadati, Pseudomonadota, Alphaproteobacteria, Sphingomonadales, Sphingobiaceae. The record is from Rfam.